UUGAAGAGUUUGAUCCUGGCUCAGAUUGAACGCUGGCGGCAGGCCUAACACAUGCAAGUCGAACGGAUCCUUCGGGAUUAGUGGCGCACGGGUGAGUAACGCGUGGAUAUCUACCUUGGGAUGGGGAAUAACCAUUGGAAACGAUGGCUAAUACCGCAUACGCCGGAAACGGGAAAGCUUUAUGCGUCCUGAGAUGAGUCCGCGUUAGAUUAGAUAGUUGGUGGGGUAAUGGCCUACCA
This 239-nucleotide ribosomal RNA is filed under the name Isochrysis galbana. RNAcentral's name for it is "partial Bacterial small subunit ribosomal RNA". It matches the Rfam family "Bacterial small subunit ribosomal RNA", at positions 1 to 270 of the family's 1533-position model. The record is from RNAcentral. Lineage: Eukaryota; Haptophyta; Isochrysidales; Isochrysidaceae.